This 253-nucleotide ribosomal RNA is filed under the name uncultured bacterium. RNAcentral's name for it is "partial 16S ribosomal RNA". It matches the Rfam family "Bacterial small subunit ribosomal RNA", at positions 524 to 776 of the family's 1533-position model. The record is from RNAcentral.
UACGGAGGGAGCUAGCGUUGUUCGGAAUUACUGGGCGUAAAGCACACGUAGGCGGCUUUGUAAGUUAGAGGUGAAAGCCCGGGGCUCAACUCCGGAACUGCCUUUAAGACUGCAUCGCUUGAAUCCAGGAGAGGUGAGUGGAAUUCCGAGUGUAGAGGUGAAAUUCGUAGAUAUUCGGAAGAACACCAGUGGCGAAGGCGGCUCGCUGGACUGGUAUUGACGCUGAGGUGCGAAAGCGUGGGGAGCAAACAGG